This 640-nucleotide ribosomal RNA is filed under the name uncultured bacterium. RNAcentral's name for it is "bacterial SSU rRNA". It matches the Rfam family "Bacterial small subunit ribosomal RNA", at positions 202 to 840 of the family's 1533-position model. The record is from RNAcentral.
GAAAGGUUUCGGCCGGACAGAGAUGGGCAUGCGGCGCAUCAGGCAGUUGGCGGGGUAACGGCCCACCAAACCGACGAUGCGUAGGGGUUCUGAGAGGAAGGUCCCCCACGCUGGUACUGAGACACGGACCAGACUCCUACGGGAGGCAGCAGUGAGGAAUAUUGGUCAAUGGCCGGAAGGCUGAACCAGCCAAGCCGCGUGAAGGACGAAGGUGCUAAGCAUUGUAAACUUCUUUUGUCAAGGGACAAAAUCAGGCUCGAGAGCCUGACCGAGGGUACUUGAAGAAAAAGCAUCGGCUAACUCCGUGCCAGCAGCCGCGGUAAUACGGAGGAUGCGAGCGUUAUCCGGAUUUAUUGGGUUUAAAGGGUGCGUAGGCGGGCUGUUAAGUCAGCGGUAAAAGCCCGGGGCUCAACCCCGGCGAGCCGUUGAAACUGGCGGUCUUGAGAGGCCGAGAGGUAUGCGGAAUGCGCAGUGUAGCGGUGAAAUGCUUAGAUAUUGCGCAGAACUCCGAUUGCGAAGGCAGCAUACCGGCGGCGAUCUGACGCUGAGGCACGAAAGCGUGGGUAUCGAACAGGAUUAGAUACCCUGGUAGUCCACGCAGUAAACGAUGAAUACUGGCUGUGUGGCCCGACAGAGGGCU